GGAGCAAGAGUGGAGUGAUGGAUUUACCAAGGAUUUGAUUCUAGACUCCUAAAGCGAGACUGACUAUUGUGUCAAGAAGGAGCCAUCUGAGGAAUUGGCUCCUGAGGUUACUGUCUCUUAAUCAUCUACUAGAGCAACUAUACAGCAUUGGUUAAUGCUUGGAUCUAUUGGACCAGGGCAUCAAACUACUAUAGAUCCGCCAUAAUAAGAGGUUGUGCAAUGUGGACGCUCAAGCAGUGCCACCUUGACUAUAGCGGGAUGAUUGUCAAUACAAGGUGGCAGAGUUGUAGACUCUUGUUC
RNAcentral lists this long non-coding RNA (300 nucleotides) under Elaeis guineensis (African oil palm). RNAcentral describes it as "long non-coding RNA (EGUI_LNC080273)". The record is from RNAcentral. Lineage: Eukaryota; Viridiplantae; Streptophyta; Magnoliopsida; Arecales; Arecaceae.